This is a small nuclear RNA of Nannospalax galili (Upper Galilee mountains blind mole rat), 104 nucleotides long. NCBI's taxonomy places the organism in Eukaryota, Metazoa, Chordata, Mammalia, Rodentia, Spalacidae. The record is from Ensembl.
GUGCUCUCUUCAGCAGCACAUAUACUAAAGUUGCAAUAAUACAGAGAAAAUUAGCAUGAUCCUGUGCAAGGAUGACAAAAAUUCAUGAAGUGUUCCACAUUUUU